This 1964-nucleotide unclassified non-coding RNA is filed under the name Hevea brasiliensis (rubber tree). Lineage: Eukaryota; Viridiplantae; Streptophyta; Magnoliopsida; Malpighiales; Euphorbiaceae. The record is from RNAcentral.
AUGAAGGAGAAGGAUCUUUGUUUUAUGUCUUGAAAACUUUGGGUGGGUUGGCAAUAACUUCUACAUUUUUUACAUUCUUGAAAGCUGAACUACUUUUUCUUUUCUUUUUUCCUAAUAUGAUCUCUUUGAAUCCUAAUUUAUUAAGAGACUUAGUUACAAUUUGUAUUAUUGAGUAAUUGAUCAUUUAUUUACACACAGAUGGUUUAAUUUCUUUCUGGGAUAAAACAUAGAAGACAAGUAAAAAUUGUGCAAGAAUUAUUAAUUAAUGGCCACAAUUCGCCUGUUUUAUUGGGGGUGAAGGCAAUAUAUAUUGUCAUCUAUUUGAUUCCAUGGGGCAUAUGUGUUUACUUUCUCUGUGCUCGACACUGGAGAGUGUGCGUGUUUUUCUCUACACUAAUAUGCCUGAUGUUGGAGACUGGUGCACAGUUUGCAUAGUAUUUUCUCAUAAAGAAUGUUUUUCUCUGGGAGCUUGUCAUCGGUAGUUUCGGAGCCAUGAUUUUUAAUUAAGGGGGGCAAAAAUAAUUAUCACCAUGUGUUAAUGAGAGAGAGAGAGUGUGUGCAUGUGUAUAUAUAAAUAUAAACAAACACUUAUUUUUUAUUCAAUUUUUCAAAAUUAAUUUAUUAAAAAAUUUUUAAUAACGAAAUUUAAUAUUAAAUGUGCAAAGGAAAUUGAUAUAUAUGAUUGAUGAGAUUUAGUCUCUAACCUUUUUUCUAAAUCUUGUUUUAUAUAAUAGUAAGCAUUAUAAACAGAUUUUAUAUAUCAAAUUAAAGUUUAUUAUAUAUGUAAUGCAGUAUGGAAUAUGUAGAUUGUAGAGGCAAUUAAAACUAACUAGAGGCAAAUAAAACUAGCUUAAUUUUUGCAAACAAAAAAAUUAGAAAAUCUGAAAAAAUAUAUGUUGAUGUUCAAAUUAAAAUUAUCAAACUCUUUAAAUGAUAAUUUUGGAUGAGUAGGAUUUAAAUUGUAAUAAACUCAUAUACAUUAUGAUUUCUUCAUAAUUAACCCUAAAAAUUGUUAUAUGUUAUUAAAAAUAAAAUUCAGUCAUAAUAGAAACCAUACAACCAAUAGUUUUAUUUGAACAACUUUUCUAUAAAAAAUGUAACAAAAAUUAGAAAUAGUUAAAUUAUUAAUAGAGAUAUUUAAGACAUCAAAAGUCAGUAAUUGAAUUAAUGAUUGGUUCACACAAUAAUUUGAAUCUUAUAAAAAUUAUGUUCUUGUUUCUAUUUUUAAUUAAAUAUUUUAUUUGGUCAUCUGAAGAGGUAUUUUUACUUUGAAGUUUUUUAAUUUGAUCUUUCUAAAUUUUCAUACAAAAUAAACAUAAGGGGUGAACUGUAUUUAGAAAGGGUAUACAUUUAAUUUCUUAAAAUUAAAGAGUACUUAAUUUUUAAAUUUAACCAAAAGUAAGGGAGCAAAUUGCCCCCCUUGCUCUUAACGUGGCUUUGUGACUGGUCAUUGGCUGUGGAACUAAGGUAAUCAGGAUCCGGCAUCAUGCAAUCAGUCAAAUUAUAACUUGGUGAAAACAUUUUGGUCCCUCCUGUGAUAUUGGACCAAAACUUAAGCAGCCAAUCUCUUUACACUAGCAAUGCAGCUUUAACAUUAAUGAAAAUGAAUCCACUCUCAGAAUUACUGUUUUGGGACCUCAACUUCACACUUUUCAAUGGUAAAAAUUUGAAGAUGUUCUGAAGUGUUUAUUCAUGUGAAAAAGCUUAUUAAGUCAAAGACAUGACUUAUGAUUGUGGUUUGUACAUAUCUUGAUGCAUACCAUGCUAGCUGAGAAUUGGAUCAUGUCAGUUAAGAUAGUAUGGACAUGCAUAAAGGAUCUAAUUUAUCAAGAUAUAAUUUUAAGCAUAAAUGUUAUACCUUUCCUGUUGAGGAUAUCUGCAGAUAGGAUGGAAGUGUAUAAAUCAUGUCUGCCGAUGAUGAUGUAUUCUUUUUUUCUUUGUGUGUACAGAGAUUAAAAUUACAG